AUACGUAGGGGGCGAGCGUUGUCCGGAAUGAUUGGGCGUAAAGGGCGCGUAGGCGGCCUGUUAAGUCUGGAGUGAAAGUCCUGUUUUCAAGAUGGGAAUUGCUUUGGAUACUGAUGGGCUUGAGUGCAGGAGAGGUUAUCGGAAUUCCCGGUGUAGCGGUGAAAUGCGUAGAGAUCGGGAGGAACACCAGUGGCGAAGGCGGGUAACUGGACUGCAAAUGACGCUGAGGCGCGAAAGUGUGGGGAGCAAACAGGAUUAGAUACCCUGGUAGUCCACGCUGUAAACGAUGAAUGCUAGGUGUAAGAGGUAUCGACCCCUUUUGUGCCGGAGUUAACACAAUAAGCAUUCCGCCUGGGGAGUACGGCCGCAAGGUUGAAACUCAAAUGAAUUGGCGGGG
This 397-nucleotide ribosomal RNA is filed under the name uncultured bacterium. RNAcentral's name for it is "partial 16S ribosomal RNA". It matches the Rfam family "Bacterial small subunit ribosomal RNA", at positions 523 to 918 of the family's 1533-position model. The record is from RNAcentral.